UAGAAAAUCAAGUUUCUAUUUUAGAAAUAGGAAAAAAACAGCACAUAAUUAAAUUAAACUAGUUGUCCCACAAAGCUGAGAUCAUAAAUUAAUAUUGCACCCCACCACUCUUCCAUAGUAACUCUUUUCAUGUGAUCUCUAUUCUUGGCUCUUCUCUUCUGCUACCUCAGUCGGUUUCUCUUCUUCAAUUGCUUUCUCUUCUUCCACCUGAGGUUUGGCCUCCGCCUCGACCUCGGCUGCUGGAGACUCCUCAACCUUUGCACUUUCUUCGGCUUCGGGCACCGCUUCUUCUUUUUCUUCUGAUUCAGUUGCCACUACUGUUUCUUCCUUCUUUUCUUGACCCUCUUCAACUUUGGAUUCCUCUACAGGAGCCUCCGUGGAUUCCUCUACCUGCAGGGAUGAAACCAUUACGUACAUAAUUUUACUUAGAAGAACCAAAUUAUUUUCUACUUACUCUCACUUUUCAUAUCACUAUAAUCUCUUUUUCAAUCCUAUAACUUUUAUCAAAGAAACUUUUAGGCUUUAUUCCUUUUCAUUUCUUAUUAACUCUACCUGAUCUGGCUCUAGAGCUUCAGGUUUGGGUUCUUCUAAGUUGGCUGGCUCAACCUCUGGAUCUGCCUCGAUGACCGGCUGUUCUUCAGAGGAUUUUUUCUCAACCUUCACCACCUCCACCGUUUCUGGCAAUGAUGCAGCUGAUUCAACCUACAAAAUCAGAUGCGUUGCAGUGUAUGAUCAAUAUCAACAUAACUCAACUAACAUAACAAUGACAAUAUUUAUCAUGAUUGUCAAAUAUGUGAAUGAACCUCAUCUCAUUUUCUAAAGGAAAAAAAAUUGGAAUUCUUGACUUGCAUGUGCCAUGAAGAGAAAGAAGAUGGCAAAUUAUCCCAAAAUAAUAAUAAUAAUAAAGAAGAAGAAGAACAUUAAAAGAAAUAAUUUCCAAUAUUAGGAAAAAAUAAAGCAUAAAACUUAAAGUCAAGGUUAUGGUUAUGAUAUGAAAAAUUGUGAGUACUCCAUGAAGCCUCAGAUGAAUUAGAUGUGUUAACAUAACAGGACCCCGUGGUAGUGGAAAUUAAGCUUGCGAUCGACGAUCUGAUUACGUUUUAGUUGUUUAAAGCAAAAAUUGAUGUAGUGAUUUUUGAAGAGAGAGAGAGAAAGAAAAGGGUUACCUCA
This 1170-nucleotide long non-coding RNA is filed under the name Cucumis sativus (cucumber). RNAcentral's name for it is "long non-coding RNA (CSAT_LNC000159)". The record is from RNAcentral. Lineage: Eukaryota; Viridiplantae; Streptophyta; Magnoliopsida; Cucurbitales; Cucurbitaceae.